Molecule: ribosomal RNA, 1373 nt
Filed under: Austrofundulus limnaeus
Lineage: Eukaryota; Metazoa; Chordata; Actinopteri; Cyprinodontiformes; Rivulidae
Description: bacterial LSU rRNA
Rfam family: Bacterial large subunit ribosomal RNA
Source: RNAcentral
ACGGCGUGCCUUUUGCAUAAUGACCCUACGAGUUACUCUUCCUGGCAAGAUUAAGGAUUUAAGAUCUGGAGUCGGAGCGAAAGCGAGUCUGAACAGGGCGUUUAGUCAGGGGGAGUAGACGCGAAACCUUGUGAUCUACCCAUGGCCAGGUUGAAGGUGUGGUAACACACACUGGAGGACCGAACGAGUUUACGUUGAAAAGUAUUUCGAUGAGCUGUGGGUAGGGGUGAAAGGCUAAUCAAACUGGGAAAUAGCUCGUACUCCCCGAAAUGCAUUUAGGUGCAGCGCUGAUUUAGUUAUAUAGAGGUAGAGCUACUGAUUGGAUGCGGGGGCUUCACCGCCUACCAAUUCCUGACAAACUCCGAAUGCUAUAUAAUGAUUUUCAGCAGUGAGGGCAUGGGUGCUAAGGUCCAUGUCCGAGAGGGAAAGAACCCAGACCAUCAGCUAAGGUCCCCAAAUGUAUGCUAAGUUGAAAAAACGAGGUUUGUCUGCCCAGACAGCUAGGAUGUUGGCUUGGAAGCAGCCAUUCAUUUAAAGAGUGCGUAACAGCUCACUAGUCGAGCGGACGAGCAUGGAUAAUAAUCGGGCAUAAGUAUACUACCGAAGCUAUGGAUUUGUAUUUAAUACAAGUGGUAGGGGAGCAUUCUAAACUGGGUUGAAGGUGAUAUGUGAGUAUUGCUGGACUGUUUAGAAAAGAAAAUGUAGGCAUAAGUAACGAUAAUGCGGGCGAGAAACCCGCACACCGAAAGACUAAGGUUUCCUCAGCUAUGCUAAUCAGCUGAGGGUUAGUCGGGUCCUAAGGCGAACCCGAAAGGGACAGUCGAUGGCCAACGGGUUAAUAUUCCCGUACUACUUAUAAUUGUGAUGGGGUGACGGAGUGAUGAAAGUACCGCGAACUGACGGAAUAGUUCGUUAAAGCACCUAGCUAUAGGUCCCGUAGGCAAAUCCGCGGGAUUUGGUGAAAUGCGAUAGUACACGGAGUCUUCGGACAAAGUGAUAGUGUACCUAAGGGCUUCCAAGAAAAACCUCUAAACUUAGAUUAUAAGUACCCGUACCGUAAACCGACACAGGUAGUCGAGGAGAGAAUCCUAAGGUGCUCGAGAGAUUCAUGGCUAAGGAAUUAGGCAAAAUAGACCUGUAACUUCGGGAGAAAGGUCGCCCCGAGCAAUCGGGGCCGCAGUGAAAAGGUCCAGGCGACUGUUUAUCAAAAACACAGGGCUCUGCCAAAUCGUAAGAUGAAGUAUAGGGCCUGACACCUGCCCGGUGCUGGAAGGUUAAGAGGAGAUGUUAUCUUCGGAGAAGCAUUGAAUUGAAGCCCCAGUAAACGGCGGCCGUAACUAUAACGGUCCUAAGGUAGCGAAAUUCCUUGUCGG